Molecule: long non-coding RNA, 6917 nt
Filed under: Gallus gallus (chicken)
Lineage: Eukaryota; Metazoa; Chordata; Aves; Galliformes; Phasianidae
Description: lncRNA (ENSGALG00010003094.1)
Source: RNAcentral
CAGCGAGUGCUUAAAGUGUCAUUUAAGUCCGUAAUUCAGAUCUAGAGUCCACGCGUCUACCUGUCAAAGCCCCCGGCCCGCCCUAACGAGGCCCAUCUGUGCUAAUGACACAAUGACCCCCAGGUGCCGGGCACAGCUGCGCCUCGUCCGGAGCCGAGCGCAACGCCCGCCCCAAAGCCUCUUAAGCUCCUCCGGGGGCUGCCGGGAGCUACGAAGGCGCUCUGCGCAGUCCCUCGCCGGGACGCGAUGAAGGAGGUUGUGUGAUGCUGUUCCUCUGCCCGAGGCGCUGCUGGGGCUGCUUGGAAGCCGAAACCUCGGGGUUCUGUUUAACGUUGUCUGUUGCGUUUGGUUCUUUUAUUCAGGCUGCAGGAGGGCGUCGGGAUCCGCCCCGGCCGGUGAGCCGUACCGAUAGCGAUGGAGGUGGUGAGCGCUCGGCGGUCCUUGGGGGGCUUUCCGCCUGGGGUGAGAGGCUGCCGGGCCCUCACCGUGCUCUUUUUGGGGCCGGCGUAGAGCUACCGCUGGGCUCCCUCGACUUUUCAGAGCCGGGAUUGCAGCGCUGCCUGCUUUCUGUUGUAUUUGGUUUGCUUUUUUUCCCCCCUCAACUUUUUUUUUUUUUAGGGAGUGCUUCAGUUCUUCAGUUCAUUCUGCUCUCAUCAGCGGGAGUGAGCGAGAUGGGGCUGUGCUUCUGCAGCCUCAGCACUGCUGGGAGAGAGGAGCAACACGAAGGGCUGCUAAAACCAGGUGUUUCCCUAUUGCGGCUGGAGCUGCAGCAGGGCCUCUCUUCAUCCCAAACCGGCGAGGUUGUGGAAGUGUUGAGAGUUUGGGAGUCAGUAGGUGAGCUCUCUCCCCUUUGGACUUGGGUAGGGUUGCUGCUGAGCUAUCUCUGUUUCUUCAGGAUCAGCACGGUGCUGCUCUUGGAGGCCAAGGGAGACCUCUGGGUGGCCUCAGCCCCCCAAAAGGGUUUGUAGGUCCUUCAGCUCCUGCCUCCAGCAGCGGGAGCGAGCAGCAGGAUGGGACUGGGUGUUUCCACCUUCCUUAUGUGCAUGACCUCAUUCCCAUCGUGGUGGGUGAACUUGUAUGCCUGGAAUGCUGUUUGUUACGGAUUGCAUGUUUUUUUUCCAGAAGGACAAUCCAGCAGGGUGAUGGAGUUGCUUUUCAGGUGAGAGAGCUGGAAAGGAUUGAGCCCUGCCUAGGGAUGAAUGAACAACUAGAGGAGUGCUUGUGAGGUAGGUAAAGGUGAGUAACAUCCUUGGGGGUGUUGGUUACAGACCAGGAUGAGGAAGAGGAUAAGACCUUCUGCGCACAGCUGUGGGCAUUAGUUGUUCUCAGGGUAGGCUGAACCACCCUGUCAGCUGUUGGGGAAGCAAGGCUGCCAGGCUUGGUUAUUCCAGGAGGUUCUUGCAAUGUGUCAAAGGUAAAACUUAGGACACAAGCGACGGAGGAGCUUGUUCUCCCUACAGAGGGAGGCUCAGCUGGGGGUGGCCGUUCUGAGAUGGUUCAGUUCAGGAUCUGGUGUGGAAGAAGCAAAGCAGUAAGUAGGGUUGAGAUAUUGGAUUUUCAGGAAGCCUGGUUUGUCCUCUGAAAGGAUCUACUUGGAGGUAUCCGUGCAGUUGGAACGUCAGAAGAGGUCCUGUGGGCGGUUGUUAUUUCAAGCAAUUUAUUUGCGCUCAGGAGGGGCGCUCUUAGGAGAGUAAGAAAAGGAGCAGAAAUAGCAGGGGAGCUUCAUGGGAAAAUGGGGCUUGCAGAAGAACUUGAAAGCGAGAAGGAAGAGAUUAGGAUGAGGAAGGCUAAAGCCUACUUAGUUUCUUCUUGGGGGGGGGGGGGGGGGGGGGGGGGGAAGAUCAAGGAUAACAGAAGUUAGCAAGUUUGUGAACAGCAAGGAGGAGAGUAGGGUGGGUCCUCUGCCUCAUCAGGCAGGGGCUGGAAUGCCUUCUUUGUUGCAGCUGUGACUGCUGAGGAUGCUCCUUGACGAUCCUGGAUCCCAGAGGAAAGCGUCUUUGAGGAAGGAUGCCUUCCUGAUCGCAGAGGAGGCGGCAAAGAUCACGUGGACAAAAUUAGUGCCCCCCAGGUCCUAGUGGGACGUGCCUGUGUGUGGCGAAGGAGCUGGCAGAAGUGAGCUCCAGCUGGCUCUGUGUCACAUUCUUUAUGAUGUUUUCUUUAGGAAAGUUGUGUGAGGACGGGAGGAUAGCCAGCAUCACGGCAGCCUUCAAAAAGGGAACUUGAAGAGUUUGCUAUGAAGCAGUCAAGGUGGAAUCACUGAGGGGAAAUUGUGCUGCUCCAACCUGGGAGCGUCAGGUCAGAGAAGAGCAGGGGAUGCUGCAAGCCUGACUUCAGUGUUUCUGUUGGCGUUUUUGUAAUGAAGCUUAACAAGUGUGAGAUGGUGACCUGGAUGAAGGGAGAGUCUCUAAUGUCGGUGAGUGAGCGGAUGAUGCGAAGCUGGGAGGAGCAGCGACAUUCAGCGGGACCCCAUGAACUGUGGAGAGCAGGUCAAGCGGAUGGGAAAGUUGUACAUGGGGUCCAAUGGAGGGCAAUGAAGAUGAUGAGGGGCCUGGAGCAUCUCUCUGUGGAGGACUGGAUGAGGAAUCUACUUCUGUUUCACCAAGAGAAGGAUGGAGGCUGCAAAGGAGUGUUUGUUUUUUUGGCAAGGAUCUGCCUGAACAUGAGUGGUUUCAUCAGUGGUGGAAUGGAGGAGGUAAGAGCCCUCAGUUGUGUUGUGUAGGUGUGGAGGCUCCUUUGUCAGAGGUUUGGUGCUGGAACAAGGAUUGCUGUGUGACUGCCUCUCCAGAGGGAGGUGAGUUCAUUCAGAAGUGGUGCCUUUUGGUGGAGCUUCACUUGGGCUGUAGCAGAAGAAUUGGAGCUGACUUAACAGUGUGUGCCCCAAAAAUACUGGGAAUGAAGUUUGCUUCCAUAGUGUGAGAAGCAGGUUGUCUACUUCAGCACUAUGGUGUGUCAGACUUGCUUGACUCACCAAAUGAAACCAGUACUUUUCCAGUGUUUGCAUUGUUGCAGCGGAAUUCCUGGAGAGAAGCGUUGCUUGAGUUUGGAAGGGCUUCUCGAGUGUGAAGGUAGGAGUGCUGUCCUGAGAGCUGAGCGGCGUUGACUCUUGCAAAAAGAUGGUUUCCUUUUUUCAGAUAGGUAAGUCAAACCACUCUCAGCAAACCAAUGGAGAAACCAGAGACUAGUGCAUCUCUAUGGUACCCUUUGGGUUAAGUUAGGAAUCAGAAAGCAGCCUGGGUUGGAAGGAACCUGUGUCUCCAAGCUCUGCACUGCUCUGCCUCAACUUCAGUUGCAUCUCUAUUCAAAGUAACAAUUUCUACACUAGGAGGAACUUAGCUGUGACACCUGGGCACAAAUUACACCUUUGGAGACAAACUUCAAGAUUUGCAAACUUCAAGAUUUGUUUCCUAUAGGUACAGGCCUGAAUCAAACACCCCUUCUGCAUCACGUUGCAGCCUGUUUCCCAAGGUUUCCAGCUUCUUUCUCCAACUGUUGCAAAGAUGGCACUGUUGUUUUUUCCUGCGUAGCCUGAAGUCCCCAGUGGCUACAGUCCACUUCUCUCCACCGCUGACGUUUAAGGUGCUGACAGCCCCCAAGCGCCCGAGGGAUCCUGCUGUCUUCGGCAAGGUCUCAUUUCAUUUAAUUUCAUAUUUAAAGCUUCCGUGACCUUUUUGAACAUGUAAAUGAUAAAAAUACUUUCACACACGGAUGUAUCGAGCGCCACGUCCACCUAGGCUUGUUAAUAAACCUCGUUGCUCUGUUUCUGCUGGCCCGUGGCUAUAUUAGCUGUCUGCUCGCCUUAUUUGUGAGAUAUAAAUAGCCAGGGACUGCACACUCGCUGUCUAGUUACAUCGAGAUAACAGUGAUUUUAAUACUCUUAAACAAGCCUGUCUCCUGACGCGGGUCUGUCCAGAAUGCUCACUCUUACCUAUCUUCCUUCUUCGUGUUUGAGUGGGAGAUUCGUAAGCAAAAUUUCUCAGCCACCAAACGUGCCAAUAGAAAACAAAAGGGCCACUGAAGGGCGUUUUUGCACUGUUCACACGCUGCUGUUGGAAAGUAAUUCUCCAUACCAUUUCUUAUGUUUGGGCUCAAUAACAUUUCAUACCCGUACCGCACAGUGGUUCUGACCCAGUCACGCUGCAUUGGCUUGAAUCAGAAAGUCCCAGACUCAUCUCAGGGCUAUGCUAUAUCAUUCUUACUGCAAAUUGAAGAUAGCUGGUACUCCCUUCCCAAAAGGCCUCGAGCCUCAACACAGUAAUGCCUUACAGUGAAGUAAAGCAGAGAGAGGCAGAGAACUACACUCAGUAAGGGAUUGAACUAACAACAGAAUUUAAACAGGAUUUAGGUGAGGAUUGGCAUCUAAAUAAACAGUUGUGAGCUAAAGACCCUUGGCUCUCAGGGCAUCUCCUUCUGUGACCGAAAAGGUCUCUAGGGCCGCUGUGAGGGUACAGAGGGAGAACUGCAUCCUGGCUUCCCAGCAUCUAUUUUUCUGCUGAACUAAGUGCACGUGCCCUGUAAGGCACGCCCAGAGCACGCUGGACACCCUGCCUUAGCCCCAGGUCGCGCCACUUGUUCAGGUAUCGUUUGGGUAACUGAUCUUUCAGUGCUAAAUGCCGACUACAGCAUCCUCAGAGAGAAGCUCUCUCUCUUGGAGAAGCUGAUAGCCCUAAGCACUGCAUUACAGAGCACUGAGAGUCCCCCACAGGAACAUGCUGCCCCUGGAGGACGGCUAGUCUAGUCAGGACCUAAUGCAAACCAUGGAAGUACAGGUAUCUGUGGAAUAACAUACCACUUUGGCUGCGUACAAAAUGAGAUACAAUGAGUAAGUUCAUCAAGGACAUUAUAGCCUCUGGAGAAAUCCUUUACAAUAGCUGCGAUGAGUAACAUCUCACUCCAUGACUCUGUUGACUUCCAUCUUCCCCUAUAGUUACAUGGAUUACCCUGGAAGCAAUGCCUCCUCUUUAUUUCUACAGAAACUACAGUGAAUAAAAAGAGCACAAGAACACUAUUUGAUAGUGUUUUGUGGCUGAGAACUUGCUCUGCUUUUCAACAUAGUCACCGCUGCUAGCUAUAGACUUUGUCGCAUGGCUAUAUCUAAGUAUGCACGCAUUAUUACGUACUUGUGAAAACUUUUCCACAUAGCUGUGCUGUAAUUUGCAUUCACAUCUUACAUUUAUAUCCGUAAGAGGACUUCUGCCGGGCACGGGUGAGCACCGUUGGACUAUACAAUGCUUGAUAGCUGGGGGCAACAGUGCAGUGGCAACAACAGAGAAGUGAGGUGCAGCAGCAGCGGAUGCAGAAAAGAAAGAAACUCCUUACCUUUACAAGACCUGUAAAAUCCUCAAGAGGUGCAGAGAGCUCUAGAAGACAGUCUUUCUCCUCCCCCUGCUGGCCCUUAAAUGAGGUCUGGGAAGGGGUGGAUCCUGGCUCCACCCCUUCUAAUUGGCUGCAUUGCGUUCACCUGGGUUGGCCCUGGCUUGGCCCUGCCUUCCACCAGGUGCUCAAUCACUGCUUCGGACCGUGACUUGAUGUCUCUUAUGCAGACAUCAAUAAAAUCUCUGACUUGAUUUUUGGCUACGUAAGGAACUGUACGUCAGAGUCGUGGUUUUCUUCCAGUUCCUCUCUACUGAGUUCACUGCUUCUUCUUUACUUGUUAUUCAGUGCUUGCUGUCUUCCCAUCAGCAGCCGUCCACCUUCGAAGCGAUUGGUGUCAGAUGUCAUUUCUCAUGGCCGGUUUCCCUGGCUUUCGCUAAUGCAAACUGAUGUACAACAUUUGCACUUUGGAGCGGUUCGAAGCAGUGAUUUCCAUUUUCAUACCCUCGUGCGCUUCGUUCAGUUAUUUCUUCUGCAGUACUUGUUGCCCUCCUCGCACUGAAAAAAAAAGUGAAGCAGAACUUCGAUUAGGUCUAUGCGAGUUAUCCUCCAGCCUGUAAAAUAGCCUUCCUGCACCAUAAUCCAUUUUCUUUGCUUCUGAUAGCUACCUGUCCAAACAAGUCCUUGCUGUUUGUAUUAAAGUCCGUGCCCACGUGCCCAAUGCUUUCUGAAAAAUGACUUCCGUUCUCAUUUUGUUUCCUUACAUAAAAGCGCCUAGGAUCCAUUCCUCAAAAGCUAUGCUUUUUCUCCAUGCUACUUACUAACAUAAUGCUCCUCCCGGUCAGCUCAGGAACCUUCCCUGGCACUCUGUGGACGCACGGUUUGCCACUCAGGUUUUUCACAGGGUGCAUAAUCGUGGUGUAAUUCCUGUGUUUCGUGACUCACAGCGCGCUCUAAACUGAAGUAACUCAGCAGGCUUCAAGAGAAGCACGGUUUUAUGGUCAGUCAGGUCCGACUAAACUGUUGCGUGCAUUUCAGAGCAUCCUACAGAAUAUUUGUAUUGUAUUCUAAAGAAUACAAGUAAUAUACCUAUUAGCCUGCCCAGAAACAUUCCUGGGGCAGCUGGGGAGAAAAACAGUGAUGUGCCGUUUAGUGGCCUUGAAGCGGGAUGCGCGCAAGGGUCUCCUCUGGGGGGUAUCAAACGCAAGGAUAUAGUAUUGCAUUUAUUGUUGGGCUCAGAUCUCCAUUGGCCUGAGGUUCUUGACUCGCGUAUGUUUGCACGAGCGGGUUUUUCACGAGCCUAUUCCUGCCUGCCCAGAUAUUUUUCCGUGGCACGUCAUAUUCUUUUGUUUUCCCCCGCUCAGAAGUGAAGUCUCUGUCAGCAGGGCUCUUCCUGUCUUUCUCGCCAGCUGCCUUCAAACAGAGAUUUUAACCGAUACUUCAGACGUUCAGGGUGGGUAUUCCCUUUCUCAUCCCUCUGGAAACUCGCCGAAGCCGCCGCUGUUUUAUUUGCCAAUACUGGAGGCCUAUUUUUAUAGCCAGAGCUCAAGGUGUGUCUAAACCAGGCCUUAAAUUUUUGGACCGAUCUUGACAGCUCGUUGUUAAAG